RNAcentral lists this ribosomal RNA (239 nucleotides) under uncultured bacterium. RNAcentral describes it as "partial 16S ribosomal RNA". It matches the Rfam family "Bacterial small subunit ribosomal RNA", at positions 96 to 334 of the family's 1533-position model. The record is from RNAcentral.
CGGCGGACGGGUGAGUAACGCGUGGGUAACCGUGCCUCAUACAGGGGAGUAACAGUUGGAAACGACUGCUAAUACCGCAUAAGCGCACAGUACCGCAUGGUACCGUGUGGAAAACUCCGGUGGUAUGAGAUGGACCCGCGUCUGAUUAGCUAGUUGGUGGGGUAACGGCCUACCAAGGCGACGAUCAGUAGCCGACCUGAGAGGGUGACCGGCCACAUUGGGACUGAGACACGGCCCAA